GAAGCUUGAUCAGAGGCGUUGAAAUGUUACUUGAUGUGGUUAAUCCCUUUAAAAAGAUAUAUGAAAUCCAUUCGCUUCAAGAGGAAUUAGUUUUUGCAUCCUAGUUGUUUGUGAAGAUUUUUUUAUUUAAAUCUUCACAUGAUGAAAAGAAGAUAAAUUUCUCUGAGUCUAAAAGUGACAUAUCAGAGUCUCCUCGAUCCAUGUGUAAACUAACCUCAGAGUCUGAUAGUGACCUAUCCGAGUCUUCUUGAUCCUUGCGUUGACUGACAUGAGAGUCUGAGCCUUCAGAUUCUCAGGUUGUGAUCCUUUUGAGUCAGAGUCUUCAAAGAUUCACUUUCUUCAGAGUCUAGUCUUUAGAAGUUGACCUUCUUUAGAGUCUAAGUCUUCAGAGUCUGGUCCUGAUCUUUUAGAUUCAGGAUCUUUUAGCUUAUCCUUAAAUGUUCUUUUUAGUACCAGAACUGACUUUAUAUCAUAAUUUUUAGUCUAUGGUCCUGCGCACUUGAAUAUAUGUUAGUAUACCUAAUUGUUCUUUACAUACCUUGUUAUCAUCAAAACCUUAGAGAUAUGGUACAAACCAAUUUUGAUCCAACAUCUCCAAUAUCACAUAAUCGAUCAUCAAUAUCUUCAUUAACUUCGUGUCUUUCUGACAUCGCAUUUUGAAUUUUAUUCACUUCACCAUGCCACAUCCAUAGUGUAUAAUUUUUACAAGUUCCAUCAUAACAUAUGUGAUAGAAUAUUUAUUUCUUCGGAUUUUUUUAUAUUCCCGCAUACAACACAAGGACAAUAAAAGAAUCCAUUAUUGCUGUGAAGAUUUUGUUCUGCGUAUUCAACCUUUCUCAUGCACUGGACCUAAUUUAUCACCUUUAAUCCAACUACAGUCUAUAAUAAAUAAUGAAAUUUAAACCAAAAGCUUGUAGUAUCAUUUAACAAUACAACAACAUGAUAAGUUAUAAAACAAUCUUCAUCUUCAUAUCAUUCAAGCACAACAAUAUAUAACAUUCCCAACAACAUAAAAAUAAUCUUCAUAUUACUCAAUCAUAAUAACACAAAUGACACACUAAUGUUACACACAAUAUACUAACAUUUACAUAAUAUUCUCACAUACUAAUAUGUUGCAUACACAUAUAUACAACAACACUCUCACAUAUAUACAACCUACACUCAAACAACAUACUAGAGGUUCAUACGCACACUACAUAUGAAUAUGGUUCAAUCAAAACAAUAUAACAUUUAACAACACCCAAACCUAAAACAUGAGUGAUGAUAAAGGUGAAGAAAUAUAUAAAGUACCAUAAAUUGAAGAAGAAGUUGACCAAGAAACAUCUUUCAUGUAUGCUCGUGCUCGCUUUCGUCGAAUAUGAAGAAAUAGAUAAAGUAAACCAUGAUCAUGUAAGUUGAAGAAGAGGAUGUUCCAAGUAAUGAACGAGAGGUAAGAAGGUGAAAUAAAUAAACUAAAUAUGUUUUUCUAUCACUUUCGUCUGUUCUUUGAUAGGACACUUGUGUUCUGAAGGAAAUAAACUAAAUAUGAUAUCUUUUAAUUAUAAUGAAACACAUUUCACCAUGGUAGAUAACACCAACCAUAGUGAAACAUAUUAACUUUAGGUGGCAC
This 1609-nucleotide long non-coding RNA is filed under the name Lathyrus oleraceus (garden pea). RNAcentral's name for it is "Pisum sativum (pea) long non-coding RNA (PSAT_LNC009887)". Lineage: Eukaryota; Viridiplantae; Streptophyta; Magnoliopsida; Fabales; Fabaceae. The record is from RNAcentral.